CCCUUAGAUGUUCUGGGCCGCACGCGCGCUACACUGAUGAAUUCAACGAGCUCCUAACCUAGGCCGAAGGGUCCGGGUAAUCUUUGAAAUUUCAUCGUGAUGGGGAUAGAUUAUUGCAAUUAUUAAUCUUCAACGAGGAAUUCCUAGUAAGCGCGAGUCAUCAGCUCGCGUUGAUUACGUCCCUGCCCUUUGUACACACCGCCCGUCGCUCCUACCGAUUGAAUGGUCCGGUGAAGCCUCCGGAUUGGCGCGCACCUCGGUGCCGCCGAGAAGUUGGCUAAACCUUACCAUUUAGAGGAAGGUGAAGUCGUAACA
Molecule: ribosomal RNA, 315 nt
Filed under: uncultured eukaryote
Lineage: Eukaryota
Description: partial 18S ribosomal RNA
Rfam family: Eukaryotic small subunit ribosomal RNA
Source: RNAcentral